UUAUCUUACCGGCUGGUAGCAUGCAGCUAAAGACACAGUGUAAAGUUAUCUUACCGGCUGGUAGCUUGCAGCUAAAGACACAGGAUAAAGUUAUCUUACCGGCUGGUAGCUUGCAGCUAAAGACACAGGGUAAAGUUAUCUUACCGGCUGGUAGCUUGCAGCUAAAGACACAGUGAUAACAUUAGCUCACCGGCUGGUAUCAUGCAGCUAAAGACACAGGGUAAAGUUAGCUUAGCGGUAGCCUGCAGCUGCUCUUUUCCAAACACCAUGGCCGCUGCCUGAGUCGGAGAUGACGGAGA
Long non-coding RNA from Etheostoma cragini (Arkansas darter), 299 nucleotides. RefSeq lists it as uncharacterized. The record is from RefSeq and is a predicted model, not a curated record. The transcript is spliced from 2 exons. Lineage: Eukaryota; Metazoa; Chordata; Actinopteri; Perciformes; Percidae.